GUAGGUGGCAAGCGUUGUCCGGAAUUAUUGGGCGUAAAGCGCGCGCAGGCGGUUCUUUAAGUCUGAUGUGAAAGCCCACGGCUCAACCGUGGAGGGUCAUUGGAAACUGGAGAACUUGAGUACAGAAGAGGAAAGCGGAAUUCCACGUGUAGCGGUGAAAUGCGUAGAGAUGUGGAGGAACACCAGUGGCGAAGGCGGCUUUCUGGUCUGUAACUGACGCUGAGGCGCGAAAGCGUGGGGGAGCAAACAGGAUUAGAUACCCUGGUUAGUCCACGCCGUAAACGAUGAGUGCUAAGUGUUAGGGGGUUUUCCGCCCCUUAGUGCUGCAGCUAACGCAUUAAGCACUCCCGCCUGGGAGUACGGCCGCAAGGCUG
Molecule: ribosomal RNA, 374 nt
Filed under: uncultured organism
Description: partial 16S ribosomal RNA
Rfam family: Bacterial small subunit ribosomal RNA
Source: RNAcentral